AUAAGCACAGGGUCCCAAUUCCCUGGGAGUCACCUCCCCACCCACAUGAAGAUGGCACUGCUGCCACAGUCAUCUGUGACCCAAGAGUCAUCCUUUCCACUAUUCUUGGUACAAUUACCAAUAAACCACAGCAGGGAAACCAUACCCCAUAGCUCUCCCCAGCCUUGCCCAGUGUGCCAGUGGUGAAGAAGCCAUUCCUUAGUGUUCUAGAACCCCCUCUGCAAAACAUAAUUAUGCAUAAGAAGAUGGUCCCCACUCCCAGCAAAUCACAGCUCUGCUCUAGGGAGCCUGCAGGGUAACAGGAGGCCAUCGCUCCUCUAGGGGAGAUGGGAGUCCCUCCCUUUUAUUCUCAUCCCGCUUCUCUCUCAGGUACAGUCCACCUGGUUGUAGUGGAAAGUAACAAUAAACUCUUGUCUUAAUCCACUUCACCCCCAAGUACAACUUCAAGCAGUAAGAAAUACAAUAUAAAACCUUCAUUCAAGAACCCUGUUCUCCCCACCCUGAUGCAAGGGUGGCUCUGUUGGAACAAGAGUGGCUGCCCAGGCCCUUUGAACCAUGGGAGAAGAUGUUCUGGGGUCAACUUCAAGACAGGGCUGGCAGUACUGGGACACUUGGCUGAGAAACAGGGGGCCUGCCCAGGUAAAGAGCUUCCCCCCAUGGACGUAAAUGGAGGGUCACAGCUGAGCUUCAGGAAGGGAAGGAAAGGAAAAGAAGGAGCAAGGAGUAUGGGGGCACACUUUCUCCUCAUACUGGGAUUCCAGCUCACAUCCCAGUCCUUCCCAGUGAGCAGUCAUGAGAACCUCACCCUGAGAAAGGAGGCAGCGAUGGGGCUUUUCUCUAGGUGCCCUAGCUCUCCCUCUCCACUGAAGUUGGAGACUAGACACUGGUGGUGGAGGGGCAGAAACUUAGGCCCCAGGUCCUAUGAGCAGAUCCCUCUACAGGUACCUGGGGCUCAGAUGGUAUAAGACAGGAAGGAGGGAGCCUGGGUAGGGUCAGGUGGUGGCUCCCCACAAUUAGAAAACAUGGCUUUUCUGCAUGCAUUUCUUUGGAUGGGUGAGGUGGUCUCCUGCCCUGUAUUCUUGCUUGACCAAUAAUCACAGGCUUUGAUUCUUGUGAAAGAACAAGAAAGUCAGGAGACAUCUGGAACAAAGGCAGCAGCAGGAAGAGCAACACAGAUGCAAUAUAGUGUCAGGUAUAGCCCGGCUUACUGUCCCCAACUAGGCAGCAAGAUCAAUCAGCCUCCCUCACAGAAACCAGCAGAAUGGGGCAUUGUGAUUUUGAUGAUUUUUUUAUUGUAUUGAGAACACUUCACUUGAGAUCUCCUCCCUUAACAAGUUUUUAAGUGUACAAUAAGCUAUUGUUAACUACAACAAUGUACAACAACAUUGUACAGCAGAUUUCUAGAAUGUAUUCACCUUGCAUGACUGAAACUGUGUACCUAUUGAAUAACAACUCUCCAUCUCCCCCUCCUCCCAGUCCCUGGCAACCACCAUUCCACUCUCUGCUUCUGGGAGUUUGACUAUUUUAGAUACUCCAUAUAAGUGAAAUCCAGCAAUCCUACUCCUGGGUAUUCAUCCAAAAGAAUUAAAAUCAGGUUCUCAGACAUGCACUUCCAUGUUGAUUGCAUUAUCCACAACAGCCAAGAUGUGGAGGCAACCUUGGUGUUCAUUAACGAAGGAGCGGUUAAAGAAAAGUGGAAUAUACAUGUAACGGAGUAGAAUUCAGCCUUAGCAAAGAAGGAAAUCCUGCCAUAUGCAACAACAUGGGAAGUGGUGAGGGCUUUCACUAGAGGUAGGGGUGGAGAAGGAAGCUUCUUAGGGUAGUUUAAGGAGGUAGGAAGCAACAUCACAGUUUGGCCACAUCUCCUUCCUGUAGGAAAUACAAAAUCCAAAGAGACACAAAGAGAAGAGAGAAAGAAAAUAUAGCAAACAUUCUAAUGCCAUCUUUGCUACUGGACUUGUACACGUUUUACUGCCAUUUCUCAUUUCACCCUCAGAAUAACCUCUGAAGAGGUCAUUGUAGUUCCCAUUUUACAGACAAGGUCUCUGGGCUGGUAGAAGGCCUGGGUAGGAUGGUUAUUCAUGAGCUGAGAAGGAGAAUCUCAGACCACCACAGUGGGUGCUCUCAGGACCAUUCCAAGGCUUUCUGGCUAAGAGUCCAGGGGAACAUCACCUGGGGCUAGGGAAGAGCUUUUGGAACCAAGAGCUCCAAAGGCUGGGAUUGCCCAAGAGGACAAGGGGGAGGGGCAUGUUGGGCACCUUGCAGUGUGGUGAUUCCAGAGGCAUGCACCCUGGCUUGCCAAAUGUCUCAGAGGGCUUGGGCUCCACAGGCCCUCUGCUAUGGAGAGCUUUUCUCAGCCCUUUCCACCUACUACAUGAUUCUAGGAAUCUUCUUCUGUGGAAGGAGGAGCUUUGGGAAUCUGCUGGGCUGCAGAGGUAGUCCCCAUCCAGCUCUAUGCCACUAGUGACAGCUCCAGAGUUUUGCUCUCACCAACACCCACAUGCUUCUGCUCUAUAAAGAUAUCAUAUUUACAUAUUGACCUUCUUGCCCCUCCUACUGUAUGAACCACACUCACAAAUGCACACACGAAGGCUUUGAGCAGCAUUGAAAUUGAUCAAGCCUGAGUAUCAUAGAACAAGUGUCCUAUCUGCUAGAGUUUGGCUGUACCUUGACCUCAGAUAUCUGCCAUUCAGAAUGGAAUGCCCAGCUCUGGGCAGGCACUGGAUCAGAACAACCAUAAGCUUAGGCAUCUGCUUCUCCCUCUUUCUCCACCUCCAUGUCAAGGGCACCCCCUCACUACAAACUGGGCCUGGGGUGGUGGUAUAAGGCAUGGGGCAGGGAACUGGGAAGCUCCCUCCACCCCAUCUGAUUUCAGACCUGCCUCCUCAGUGCCCCAUGUGUGACCCAGCUAUAUUUAGCAAGCUCAAUUCAGUAACUAGAGCAACUGGUCUAGCGCCCUCCCCUUCCAAGGACUCUGAAGGGGCCAGUUUCUCACACCUUUUAAUCAUCUUCCAUUUCUCCAGGCAACCAACACAAAAGGCCUGGACCAGGUGGUGGAGAUGCUGGGGCUCCUACACAGAGGCUCUAUUUUCUGUUUGCAGUCUUCCAGGCCAGAUAAGAAAACUGAGACACAGAAAAGUCACACAAGAUUAUCGAGGUCAACACAGAGAACAGUGGAACCUGCACCUGACCCCAGGCAGGCGGAACCUUCAUGACCACACCACACCACCACAGGGAACAGGCAGGGAAAACAAUGGGUCUAGCAGGACAAAAGUGACAUUUCCCAGAGUUUCUUGCUGUUUGGAUCUGGCUGCAGUUUCAGUUUUGCCAAGAAGAGGCAUUUCCAUGAGCUCUGGACAGUGGCAGAGAGGCAGAGGUGCUCCACUGCAGUGUGCUGGAUGGUCCACGGGCUCCUGCCAAUGUGAGGAUUUGCAGCAACUGGUAUAUCCAUGGUCUUGUCACCAGCUUCCUGAAUUCGGGGCAGCUGGAGCCACACUAGUGGUCCUUCCUUGCAGGGGCAGCAGCUGUCUCCUGGUCUCAGAAUCACAGCUGUGGGGAUGCAACCUUAAGCCAAAAGCCUAGCGGUGGGUGGUCCUAAACUUCUUUUGUCUAGGCCCUCUGAUCCCUCUGUAAGUCGCUAUUUCCC
Long non-coding RNA from Homo sapiens (human), 3646 nucleotides. Ensembl annotates it as long intergenic non-protein coding RNA 951. The record is from Ensembl. Lineage: Eukaryota; Metazoa; Chordata; Mammalia; Primates; Hominidae.